UCGUAACCCCCCAAAUUAGCGCCGGAGCACACGGGCUAAUGAGCUCACUGUGAUCCUGUAGGUUACAAUAACUCCAUCAGACCCAGCUCAGAGACUGCGCAUCGGACUACAGUUGCGCGCUAAAGUUGUAACAAUGAUAGACUGACUGAUAAUUAAAUGGGUCAGACCAAGGCGACUCGUCACACUUUUGCUCAGGUUUAUUUUUGAAAGUCAGUUGCUGUAUAGGGUCAAAAAAAAAAAAAAAGCUGUUGAAUAUAUUUAUUAUUGUUGGACAGGAAAAAAGAUUCACUGAACACAUGUUGACCUUUCGUCAACAAUAGCGGGGCAUGUUGUCACACGGUAUGAGGACUGGCACAAGGUGGGCAGGAGGGUUUUGACAAAGACAUUGGCACCCAGACGGAGCCUCAGCCGCAGGAAAAUGCUGAUUGGUUGAUGGCACCACAAGAACGAACCCUUUGCUAAAAACUGUCCUGAGCUGUGAUGUGAUUGGUGUAGUUAUGGCAUCUACCAGCAGGGGCAAAUUUCUGAAGCUAACCAGCGAAACCUUGACCCCAUGUUCAGACCUGAACAUAAACAGCUUCUUGUGUUUGUGUGCUCAACUCUCAUAAAAAGCCUCUUUAGCAGGAAAAAGAGCAGCUUGCGCAUCCUGCUAUACCCUUCAAAAGACACGAGGAUCUUCCUCACUGCACUACUUAUGAUGGAUAGGAGGCCUUAAUGAGCUUCUUACAAGCAAUUAAAUAAUCAGGGAGCCCUGCUGUUUGCCGAUGAGGCUUUAGAGAGCGCUGACAAACGGUGGGCCAUCAGCGCUCCAAUCAACAGGACAUGGCGCUCAGUGCUGUCACCAAUGCUAUUUUAAACAAUGACUCUCUGCACUGCCGAGAAAACACUCAUAGGAAUUAUGCUCACAGGAGUGGGAAAGUUUUGUACAGGCAUUUACGUCAAGUGUUUUGCAAUUGUAUCUUUCUUGGCCGCACAGAUGCGCUGUAACAGUUUGAUGUGUUAGUGUGUUAUUCAUUUUACCAUAGUAAAUAGCUGUUAUUUUAUUCAUGGAACACAAUAAGGGAAAUUUUGAAGAAUCUUCCUGCAGAUCUUUUCCAGCAAGUGUUUGAGAAGAUUUGAGAAGGGAAGAUCAUCUAUGCGUAACAACUUAAAUUUCAGCCUGUUUCCAACAUAAAUCUAUCAUAUGGCUUUAAAUAUUUUUUUGAGUUCUAUGGGCUACAUUUAUAGCUAUGUUAUAGGAAUUUUUGUAAUUUCUGGAACUUUUUCCGUGAAAAAAUAACAACAUAAGGGUCUGGAAUGACAUGAAAUUGGUUAAAUAAUGACAGAUUUUUUUUAUUUUCCAAAAGUUUGGAAUCAAGCAGAUUUAUUUUUUUAUUUUUUUAUUUGUAAAAAAAGGAAAAAGAAGAAAGAAUCAAGAAUGCAUUAAAUUGAUUAAAAAUUACAAUA
Long non-coding RNA from Onychostoma macrolepis, 1446 nucleotides. RefSeq lists it as uncharacterized. Lineage: Eukaryota; Metazoa; Chordata; Actinopteri; Cypriniformes; Cyprinidae. The record is from RefSeq and is a predicted model, not a curated record. The transcript has 6 exons.